RNAcentral lists this ribosomal RNA (498 nucleotides) under Tomentella badia. RNAcentral's name for it is "eukaryotic LSU rRNA". The stretch from base 179 to 333 matches the Rfam family "5.8S ribosomal RNA". The record is from RNAcentral. Lineage: Eukaryota; Fungi; Basidiomycota; Agaricomycetes; Thelephorales; Thelephoraceae.
UGCUGGUCCUCAAACGGGGGCAUGUGCACGCUCUGUUAACACAUCCACUCACACCCUGUGCACCCUCUGUAGUUCUGUGGUUGGGGGACCCAUCCUCCUGCUGUGGUUCUGCAUCUUUACACACACACACUGUAACAAAGUCUCAUGGAAUGCAUCUGCGUUUAACGCAAUACAAUACAACUUUCAGCAACGGAUCUCUUGGCUCUCGCAUCGAUGAAGAACGCAGCGAAAUGCGAUAAGUAAUGUGAAUUGCAGAAUUCAGUGAAUCAUCGAAUCUUUGAACGCACCUUGCGCCCUUUGGCCAUUCCGAAGGGCAUGCCUGUUUGAGUAUCAUGAACACCUCAACUCUUCAUGGUUUUCCGUGAUGAGCUUGGACUUUGGGGGUUUUGCUGGCCUACGGUCGGCUCCUCUAAAAUGAAUCAGCUUGCCAGUGUUUGGUGGGCAUCACAGGUGUGAUAACUAUCUACGCUUGUGGUUUUCCCACCAGGUAACCUUCAG